GGGCGGACGCCGAGGAAGGUGGCGCCCGCGCCCAUCCGCCGCCCGGGCCCAGUCCUCGCCCCAAGCUCGCUGGCGCCAGGGGGACGAGGACGCACGAAUCCCUUCGCGCCCCGCGCCGUCGGCCCCGCCGUCCCAGACCCAGACGCGGCGCCCAGAGGCCGCCCAGGGCGGGGGCGGCGACCGGCAGCAGCUUAACCCCUGGCCCCGGCGCCGUCACCUCCGUCCCUAGGCUCUGUCGCGCCCAAGCCCCGGGUUCCUGCAGCCUAGGAAGACGCGCGGAGGACGGCGCGGUCUGGAGAGAGGGCGCCAAAGGCGACGCGCCGGCGGCCAGCUCCGCGCCAAGCCCAGUGCGUCUGCGGGAACCGGCCCCUUCAUGCGGCGCGGGACGCAGAGCCGAGCGAGGAUCUUCUUCAGCGCGGACUCAACGCCAGGGCGCCGCCUAGAGGUCGGCGGCGGCCUCGGUCUCAUUCGUCAGCGGACCGCAGAAGCUUCUUCCCCAGCCGGGGCCAGAAACGGAGAGGGCGAAUCCAGCUCAGGUCUCAGGAACACGGCUUCUGGCAUCUUUGACUUGCCUGAGACAAGCUCUUAAUGAACCCUAGGAAGGGACGCGGGCCUGGAAGGCUCAGAAAUAUUUAUUCUUGUGGCUCUCACGAAAUGGAAGGAGGGUCUCAAUUUCAGUCUCUUUGAGGACCUGUCUUGUACAUCUGUCUACACUGCCUCCUCUCACCACCCAAAUUGUCCAGCCCCUUCCAGUUAUGCUAGAACUCUGCUCUGUCUUCAAGGAGGGAAGGAAGUUGCCCCUAAAUCUUACAGCUUGAUCUGCUACAGUUUCAAUUUCCCGAAUAUUUCGAAAUAAUUUGAAGGACAUCCUUUUGGGAAAGUGUUCAGAAAACUUUUGAGAGGCAAAGGAACAUUGCCUUCAUGGCCUUUACGCACUGUGUGACCAUCAACUGGUGUCUGAGUGACAUUCAGGGACUUGCUUGUUGGCACCAGCGCCCCUAUUGGACAUUAGGGGAUGCAAACCGUUUGAAGUUCAUCAACACGGUGAAGUUUUAUUGUAUUUCCGGUCCCCAAGAUUUAUACCCGGGAGGGGGAGCGGGCGGCCCCGCAGACCCCUGCGCUCCCUCGGACAUCCCCGCCGGACACGUGGCUGCUGGGACCCUCGCCUCCGGGGCGAGGCCGGGAGGGAGCCGGGCCGGACGGGAUGGGACCGCUCGCUCCGCGCCUCCCGCCCCUUCCGACGGCCGCUCCUGCCCAGCGCCGCCGCCGCCGCCGCCCAGGUAA
RNAcentral lists this long non-coding RNA (1284 nucleotides) under Sus scrofa (pig). RNAcentral describes it as "lncRNA (ENSSSCG00045036684.1)". The record is from RNAcentral. Lineage: Eukaryota; Metazoa; Chordata; Mammalia; Artiodactyla; Suidae.